RNAcentral lists this long non-coding RNA (1052 nucleotides) under Sparus aurata (gilthead seabream). Its description in RNAcentral is "lncRNA (ENSSAUG00010008528.1)". Lineage: Eukaryota; Metazoa; Chordata; Actinopteri; Spariformes; Sparidae. The record is from RNAcentral.
UUUUCCUUCCUGCAGGUGUGGUCGAGCCAACAACAACUACAGAUCUGAGACCUGUCUGGAUGUGACAGUAGGUAUCAGCCUGAUUGAUUUUGUUACAGGAAUGUAACCCAGCAUCUAAUAUAUUACGCACUGUUUUCUGUCCUCGUUAUCAACAGAUCCCAGAUGAUCACCUGGCCGGGUGUCAUAUUUACCCAGAGGCUGAUUCACCUCGCAGAACUGAGCUCCGUCCUGAAGGUGCUGGACUCCCUGACACCGACUUCCUGCUGUACCUCCACCUACGGGCCACUGACAAGUGUAGAGCUGAGCCUAACGUGUUGGCCUACGCCGUCCACUGCCAGAUGGACACCCAUGGGCGACCUGUUGCUGGGGUGGUGGUGAUCUGCAGGGACAGACUGACAGGAGCCGCAUACAGCCACCAGACUUCUGUGCAGGUACCAUCAUCAAUAUCCAUUUCAUUACGUUUUAAUCAUGUAUUGAUGUGUCGAAUCGUGUGCUCUCAUCUGUUUUUCCAGACUGUGAUCCACGAGCUGUUUCACGCGCUUGGUUUCUCCAAACAUCUCUUCCACACCUGGAGAGACUGCUCGUCCACCUCUACAGCUGGAGCUGCCUGUUCUCCUCGAGGCACAGUGACUCACUCUGAUGGAUCAGGCCAGAUGAGGAUUUACACCCCGUCCGUCAUCUCAGCCCUGCAGAAGCACCUGGCGUCCACUGACCCAGAGCUGGGAGCGCCGCUGGAGAACCUGGUACCAAGCAGCUCCAGCCUGACCCCUCAUGAGAUCUAUCAUGCGCUCUCCUUACUGCACAAGUUAAACGCUUUCUGUCUUCAGGAUCUGGGCAAACUGUCCUCCCACUGGGAGUCCAGGGUCCUGCAGGGCUCCAUCAUGGCGGCGGUGCUGGGGGACCCCGCCACAGUUCGGAUCGACCCGGUCACCCUGGCUGCACUACAGGAUACAGGCUGGUACAGUGUUAACCUGAGCCGGGCGCAGAGCCUAGUCUGGGGAGAAGGUCAGGAAGAUAACUACAUGGUUGAUAACCUGACUCGUGUGUUUUAA